UGAAUCUAGUUUUAGGGGGUUGGAACAGCUGGAUCUGAGAGAGAGGGUAGUGGCGGGCAACUUGGGGGUGGAUGAAGACGAAAAAGGGGAGAGGGGUGCGACAGCCGACUUUCCGACAAUAUUUCACCAUCGACAGAAUAACGAGCAAAAGGGGGCGGACAGUUUUUUUUGUGGUGGUUUCACCAGGUUUUUGGGAUCUUUGAACAGAUAAUGGUU
RNAcentral lists this long non-coding RNA (216 nucleotides) under Capsicum annuum. RNAcentral's name for it is "long non-coding RNA (CANN_LNC008666)". Lineage: Eukaryota; Viridiplantae; Streptophyta; Magnoliopsida; Solanales; Solanaceae. The record is from RNAcentral.